RNAcentral lists this ribosomal RNA (555 nucleotides) under Salmonella enterica. RNAcentral's name for it is "partial 23S ribosomal RNA". It matches the Rfam family "Bacterial large subunit ribosomal RNA", at positions 1 to 586 of the family's 2925-position model. The record is from RNAcentral. Lineage: Bacteria; Pseudomonadati; Pseudomonadota; Gammaproteobacteria; Enterobacterales; Enterobacteriaceae. RNAcentral also lists the same sequence under 4 other names.
GGGUUGUGAGGUUAAGCGACUAAGCGUACACGGUGGAUGCCCUGGCAGUCAGAGGCGAUGAAGGGCGUGCUAAUCUGCGAUAAGCGCCGGUAAGGUGAUAUGAACCGUUAUAACCGGCGAUACCCGAAUGGGGAAACCCAGUGUGACUCGUCACACUAUCAUUAACUGAAUCCAUAGGUUAAUGAGGCGAACCGGGGGAACUGAAACAUCUAAGUACCCCGAGGAAAAGAAAUCAACCGAGAUUCCCCCAGUAGCGGCGAGCGAACGGGGAGGAGCCCAGAGCCUGAAUCAGCAUGUGUGUUAGUGGAAGCGUCUGGAAAGGCGCGCGAUACAGGGUGACAGCCCCGUACACAAAAGCGCAUGUGCUGUGAGCUCGAUGAGUAGGGCGGGACACGUGGUAUCCUGUCUGAAUAUGGGGGGACCAUCCUCCAAGGCUAAAUACUCCUGACUGACCGAUAGUGAACCAGUACCGUGAGGGAAAGGCGAAAAGAACCCCGGCGAGGGGAGUGAAAAAGAACCUGAAACCGUGUACGUACAAGCAGUGGGAGCACCCUU